AUUCAAGCAGUGCUUUUGACAACCCUGUCCACCUCUGGGUACAACUGGGUACAAUGCGGUGAGACAGCGAUGAGGAGGAAGUUGAUAUGGGGUGCUUCUGCGAUCCUGCCAGGAGGAGACGGAGGCACAGGACACCUGCAGGAGCGCUCCACACCUGUCCAGGUCACCUGCAGUCUUCUCAGACCUCACUAGAGGGCCUGAUGUGCCAAGGCCAAGAAACAAUCCAGAGGCCAGAGACAUCAUCGCUUAGGGGAAAAGAGAAGGGACUGACUGGAGAUGACACUGCUGAGGUGAGCAGACAGGUGGCAUCACAGAGCACAGAGGAUCCCAGAGCUCUUCCCCUCCGCUCUUCCUGACAGAACAAGAAACUCAACCGCACUAGUUCGGUGGAAUGAUGGACUGAAAGCAAGGUGUACGCUCCUGCCACCUGUGAUGCCAUCACCUGAGGUCUAUAAAUGAGCAGCUCCCACAGACACCAGGUACAAGAAGACCCAGAGAUCACACCCCUACCACCAAGCCACGAGUCCAGUGGAACAAGCACAGGUGUGGGAUUCUGCUACACAACACCUACAACGACAACCUGGUCAGCGGAGAGAUGCAGUCGAAGGUGUGCAUCGCAUUUCUGCUAGUGGUUAUGAUGACCCUAAUAAUAGCUGUGAACCCAACAAUCUCAGCAAAUACCACCAGUAUCACAGCCUCCAGCAACACCACAAAUACCGCAGCCUCCAGCAGCUCCAGCAAUACCACCAACUCGUCGGCGCCGCAUUUCGGUGCGGGCUGUGCCACCAUCUCACUGGGGUUGACCUCCGUGGUGGUCCACGGCGUCCUGGUUCCCUGAUGAUGAGCUGAGCUCUCCGCAUCUCCCAGGCGUACGUCACAGAUGGCCUCGGACUGCAGACGUUUCGCCGCAAAUUUUCAAUGAAUUAACUAGCUCGAAAUUUACUCUGCUUGCAAGCUAAUCAUCUCAGAUUUGUUGCUUUUGUAUACAAGCUACAUAUGCAAUAUAUGUCCCUAGUGCUUAAUUACUGUUAAUGUACAUACGUUAAUACUGCAUGUAGUUGCGACUUAAACAUAUUUUCCUUCGAUGUUCUAUGAGGGAAACGUUAAACUUUAAGUGGAAAAUGAAAUGACGACGACACGAGAUGUUUUCAUUCAAAGGCAAAAAAGAGUGGGACUAAAACGAAAACACGCGAGUCUCCAGAAGGAAGAGGGAUCAAGCGACGUGCUUGUAGGAAGUCGAACGUCAUCCGUCCCCGUUGCUCCACAGCCUUGCCUUGGCCCCCCGGCCGCUUUCCUAUCGCCUGAGCGAUGACUGGAAUGCAGCGCGGUCCUCACACGGGUGAGGAAACCGAAAGGUGAGGACCGUGGUCCGGAUUGUGGAGAGAUGAAGUUCAAACACGGACACAGAGCAACCGUAAACGGAAAAUGUGAACUUUUCUCGCUACGGAGACACUGCUGAUGUUCCCCCGAUGCUGUUCAAAUAUUUAUACUCAUACUUCCAAAGCGUAAAUGUUAAACCUGAUCCACAUCCACACUGACUGCUGCAAUAAAUACAUUUCAAAGACAA
Scleropages formosus (Asian bonytongue) is the source of this 1567-nucleotide long non-coding RNA. RefSeq lists it as uncharacterized. Lineage: Eukaryota; Metazoa; Chordata; Actinopteri; Osteoglossiformes; Osteoglossidae. The record is from RefSeq and is a predicted model, not a curated record. The transcript is spliced from 2 exons.